This 129-nucleotide ribosomal RNA is filed under the name Escherichia coli. RNAcentral's name for it is "partial 16S ribosomal RNA". It matches the Rfam family "Bacterial small subunit ribosomal RNA", at positions 1 to 120 of the family's 1533-position model. Lineage: Bacteria; Pseudomonadati; Pseudomonadota; Gammaproteobacteria; Enterobacterales; Enterobacteriaceae. The record is from RNAcentral.
UUAAAUUGAAGAGUUUGAUCAUGGCUCAGAUUGAACGCUGGCGGCAGGCCUAACACAUGCAAGUCGAACGGUAACAGGAAGAAGCUUGCUUCUUUGCUGACGAGUGGCGGACGGGUGAGUAAUGUCUGG